This 73-nucleotide transfer RNA is filed under the name Ovis aries (sheep). It matches the Rfam family "tRNA". From Rfam's summary of the family: Transfer RNA (tRNA) molecules are approximately 80 nucleotides in length. Their secondary structure includes four short double-helical elements and three loops (D, anti-codon, and T loops). Lineage: Eukaryota; Metazoa; Chordata; Mammalia; Artiodactyla; Bovidae. The record is from Rfam by way of RNAcentral.
UCCCUGGUGGUCCAGUGGCUAAGACUCUGCACUCCCUAUGUAGGGGGUACAGGUUCAACCCCUGGCCAGGGAA